CAAUAGCAAAAACAGAUGUGGUUAUUAUUAUUAUUAUUAUUAUUAUUAUUAUUAUGUUAUUAUUUAUAUAGCGCCAACAAAUUCCAUAGCGCUUGACAGUGGGUGGACGAACAAGCAUGUAGUUGUAACCAGACAAGUUGGACAUACAGGAACAGAGGGAUGAGGGCCCUGAUCAAUGAGCUUACAUGCUAGAGGGAGUGAGGUAAAAUGACACAGAAAGGUAAGGAUAGUAUUAGACUAAUGACAGUUGCAGGAGAGGAAUCAGUCGGGAGCUAUUAACAGCUAUUAACAGUUUAAUUGAUACUCUUUUAUGAAGAAGUGGGUUUUUAAUGAUUUUUUGAAGGAGUGGAGACUGGGUGAGCAUCUAACGGAGGAGGGAAGUGAGUUUCACAGGAACGGUGCAGCCCUCGAGUCUUGAAGCAGAGCAUCAAGGUGGGAGUAUGGACAGAAGAUAGACGUAAGUCUUCAGCAGAGCGUAAGGGCCU
This is a non-coding RNA of Pelobates cultripes (western spadefoot toad), 485 nucleotides long. NCBI's taxonomy places the organism in Eukaryota, Metazoa, Chordata, Amphibia, Anura, Pelobatidae. The record is from the annotation of a GenBank genome assembly.